UACGAAGGGGGCUAGCGUUGUUCGGAAUUACUGGGCGUAAAGCGCGCGCAGGCGGCUAUCCAAGUCAGUGGUGAAAGCCUGGAGCUCAACUCCGGAACUGCCAUUGAAACUGUUUAGCUGGAGUAUGAGAGAGGUGAGUGGAAUUCCCAGUGUAGAGGUGAAAUUCGUAGAUAUUGGGAAGAACACCGGUGGCGAAGGCGGCUCACUGGCUCAUUACUGACGCUCAUGCGCGACAGCGUGGGGAUCAAACAGG
Molecule: ribosomal RNA, 253 nt
Filed under: uncultured bacterium
Lineage: Bacteria
Description: partial 16S ribosomal RNA
Rfam family: Bacterial small subunit ribosomal RNA
Source: RNAcentral